CCUACGGGUGGCAGCAGUGGGGAAUAUUGGACAAUGGGGGGAACCCUGAUCCAGCCAUGCCGCGUGUGUGAAGAAGGCCCUCGGGUUGUAAAGCACUUUCAGUGAGGAAGAACGCCUGGUGGUUAAUACCCAUCAGGAAAGACAUCACUCACAGAAGAAGCACCGGCUAACUCCGUGCCAGCAGCCGCGGUAAUACGGAGGGUGCGAGCGUUAAUCGGAAUUACUGGGCGUAAAGCGCGCGUAGGUGGCUUGAUAAGCCGGUUGUGAAAGCCCCGGGCUCAACCUGGGAACGGCAUCCGGAACUGUCAAGCUAGAGUGCAGGAGAGGAAGGUAGAAUUCCCGGUGUAGCGGUGAAAUGCGUAGAGAUCGGGAGGGAUACCAGUGGCGAAGGCGGCCUUCUGGACUGACACUGACACUGAGGUGCGAAAGCGUGGGUAGCAAACAGGAUUAGCUACCCCAGUAGUC
RNAcentral lists this ribosomal RNA (465 nucleotides) under Vreelandella stevensii. Its description in RNAcentral is "partial 16S ribosomal RNA". It matches the Rfam family "Bacterial small subunit ribosomal RNA", at positions 338 to 795 of the family's 1533-position model. The record is from RNAcentral. Lineage: Bacteria; Pseudomonadati; Pseudomonadota; Gammaproteobacteria; Oceanospirillales; Halomonadaceae.